This 183-nucleotide ribosomal RNA is filed under the name uncultured soil bacterium. RNAcentral's name for it is "partial 16S ribosomal RNA". It matches the Rfam family "Bacterial small subunit ribosomal RNA", at positions 26 to 211 of the family's 1533-position model. The record is from RNAcentral.
AGAACGAACGCUGGCGGCGUGCUUAACACAUGCAAGUCGAACGUGAUUGAGAGCUUGCUCUCAUGAAAGUGGCGCACGGGUGAGUAACACGUGGAUAAUCUGCCUGGCGAUUCGGGAUAACACUUCGAAAGGGGUGCUAAUACCGGAUAAGCCCACAGUCCUUGUAGAGUGCGGAAAGGGGAC